RNAcentral lists this long non-coding RNA (1253 nucleotides) under Capra hircus (goat). Its description in RNAcentral is "lncRNA (ENSCHIG00010007513.1)". The record is from RNAcentral. Lineage: Eukaryota; Metazoa; Chordata; Mammalia; Artiodactyla; Bovidae.
UGCGCCUUGGAGGACAGCGGUCCCCACACCCGGGGGCUCGGGGCUGGGCCGGGCUGCGCGCCGGGGAGGGCCACCCGCCGGGCUCCUCAGGCCUGGGACCCCGGCGGGGGCGGACCGUCCCAUCCCCAAGGGAAGGGGUGUCGCCCAGUCUGGCUCCUCGGGGCCGCGGCAGCGCCAAGGCCGGGCUGUCACCUCCCUGGGGCGGAGCCUCAUACCCUGUCAUCCAGCCCCCAGUCCUGGCCUGGCUUCAGGAUGGGAGGGGGAUGGGCCUGCAAACCAGGGACAGGUGGGGGGAGGGUGCUGAGAUGCGGACAAGCAUGGCCUGGUGGCCCUGACUCAGGGGGGCAGCUCUGCUGGCAGGAAAGCCCUGGCACACUGGGGACACAGAGGGUCAGCCAGACCAGAGGUCCUGCCAGGUGAGCGCCCAGCUCGCUGCUUUUCCAAGCUCACCUUGGAGCGUGCUCCCCUAGCCUGUGAGGAGGUGGAGACCCUGUACCACUGUCUGAGCCACCCACCCCCCACCCACCCCUAGCCUCUCCAGACUGGGCACCCAGAGAAGCCGCUGGCCCAAGUCUGAACGUGGGCCUGGUACAGAGGGGUGGACCCCAGCUCAGCCUGCAUGCGGGGGCAUGGAACCUCAGGUUUCCAUGGAGCUCUCCUGUGAUGCUGUGGGGAGGGCCUGCCUGAGAACUGCGGGUGGCAGGGGCUCGAUCCACCCACCGCCCUGCCUCCCCUGCUGGCGGCCUCCUGGCCUGCUGCGCCGCUCAGGGACCUGGAGGCAGCCUUGAGCUCCUUGAGCUCACACACCCCCACGUGGUCCGGCAGCCAGCGCCUGGUUUCUGCUGCCGUGCGCUCACUGCAAAGAUGGAGGGGUCGCUCUCCUGGCCUUGUCAUGGUAGCCCCAAAGAGCUUGCAGAAAGUGGCCCAGAAAGGAUGGUGUGGAGGAGGGGGCAGGACCCGAGUGGCUGGACAGCUGGGCGCCCCCUGCAGGUGCCUGGGACGCCGGCAUGGAACACAGGCCUGUGGCCGCAGGCCUUGGCUGCCUCCCGGGCCGUGCCCCAGGGCGAAAGCCCCGAAAGGCCGAGUGAGCUGACGCCUGGAGACUUCUUUUAAGAUGACCCGCACCGACCCGCCGGAUCUGCUGGUGUCGACCGUGUACCAGGACAUCAAGGUGGCGGCCCCGGGGCCCGUGUCGAGGCCCCCGCCAUGUGAGGGCCCCAUGGCCCGGCCUGCAGCGCCCGCGCCUUUCAAUA